RNAcentral lists this ribosomal RNA (624 nucleotides) under Triticum aestivum (bread wheat). RNAcentral's name for it is "partial small subunit ribosomal RNA". The record is from RNAcentral. Lineage: Eukaryota; Viridiplantae; Streptophyta; Magnoliopsida; Poales; Poaceae.
AUGGAGAAUGCAUUGCUGAAGCUUUGGUCAAUGGUUGAAGAGAGCAAGUCUGCUAGGGUGAAUGAUAAUCUUCAAAGUGCUUUAACUAUUCACCAUUUGACAAAAGAAAAGAAGAAGCUGGAUGCAGAUUAUGACAAGUUAGUGAAAGAUGUGCAUCAACUUGUGAACUUUCAGCAGGAUAGGGUUGUGGAUUUCAGUUAUCUACAAUCAACUGUCACAUAUCAGCACGAAUGCAGAGCUGAAUUAGUGGCUCGUAAGAAUGCAGAAAUGGCAAAGAAAGAUGCAGCUACAGAGAAGCUUCAACAGAAGUAUGAAAUCUUGUGCAACCUGACAAGUGCUCAAGCAAUUGCCAUCCAAAACCUCAAGUUGAAGAAUAUGAAAGAGAAGGAAUUGCUGAGUGAGGCUGGGAUGAAUUUGGAGUUGAAGAAUGCAGAGUUCACAAAGUUUGAGGAGAAGCUCACCCAAGAGAAGCUAGAGUUGAAGUUCCAGGUUGCUGAUCUGCUGAAGCUCAAGGAAAACCAUAAUGAAGAGAAGCAGAUGCAAGAGUUUAAGAUAAUUGAGCUCAUGAAGGCAGAGGAGAAGCUGAAGGAGAAGAUCAAGGGAACCAGACCAUCUUGGAGAACU